UACAGAGGUCUCAAGCGUUGUUCGGAUUCAUUGGGCGUAAAGGGUGUGUAGGUGGCGCCGUAAGUCGGGUGUGAAAUUUCGGAGCUUAACUCCGAAACUGCAUUCGAUACUGCGGUGCUUGAGGACUGGAGAGGAGACUGGAAUUCCUGGUGUAGCGGUGAAAUGCGCAGAUAUCAGGAGGAACACCCGUGGCGAAAGCGGCUCUCUGGGACGGUACUGACGCUGAGACGCGAAAGCGUGGGGAGCAAACAGG
RNAcentral lists this ribosomal RNA (253 nucleotides) under uncultured bacterium. Its description in RNAcentral is "partial 16S ribosomal RNA". It matches the Rfam family "Bacterial small subunit ribosomal RNA", at positions 524 to 776 of the family's 1533-position model. The record is from RNAcentral.